UAAAAUAUUGUUAUUUGUAUAAUUUUUUUCCUUUCUCAUAGAUAGAUAGAUUUUUCUUUCUACUAGAUUGCAAAGUCUUGAUGGAACUGAUUUUAAAGAACGUAACAAGACGAGCUAUUCGUCACAUCAUGCCUGAUGAUGUUGUUGAGCUCUAAAGCUGGAUGGGCAAUAAUGAAAAAAAAGAUUUUUUGGUUACAGAGUGUCAGGUGCAAUUAUUGAAGCUGUUUGCAGUGUUUUCACAUACACUAAAGUAAAUGAAGUUGGAAGCAUUAUUAGAGGCUGGUUGCGCCAUGCUAAA
Molecule: non-coding RNA, 298 nt
Organism: Parasteatoda tepidariorum (common house spider)
Lineage: Eukaryota; Metazoa; Arthropoda; Arachnida; Araneae; Theridiidae
Source: RefSeq, a predicted model, not a curated record